UGGGGAAUAUUGCGCAAUGGGGGAAACCCUGACGCAGCAACGCCGCGUGAGUGACGAAGGCCUUCGGGUCGUAAAGCUCUGUCGGAGGGGAAGAAACUACCAAUGGCUAACAUCCAUAGGUAUUGACGGUACCCUCAAAGGAAGCACCGGCUAACUCCGUGCCAGCAGCCGCGGUAAUACGGAGGGUGCAAGCGUUGUUCGGAAUUACUGGGCGUAAAGGGCGCGUAGGCGGUCGAGUAAGUCGGAUGUGAAAUCCCCGGGCUUAACCUGGGAAUUGCAUUCGAUACUGCUUGGCUAGAGUGUGGAAGAGGGAAGCGGAAUUUCCGGUGUAGCGGUGAAAUGCGUAGAUAUCGGAAGGAACACCAGUGGCGAAGGCGGCUUCCUGGUCCAACACUGACGCUGAGGCGCGAAAGCGUGGGGAGCAAACAGGAUUAGAUACCCCUGUAGUCCCUGAGCGGGCUGGCAAGGCGCAU
Molecule: ribosomal RNA, 473 nt
Filed under: uncultured bacterium
Lineage: Bacteria
Description: bacterial SSU rRNA
Rfam family: Bacterial small subunit ribosomal RNA
Source: RNAcentral